Haliaeetus leucocephalus (bald eagle) is the source of this 5890-nucleotide RNA transcript. It is a transcript of the gene named POU class 2 homeobox 1, with no coding region annotated. Lineage: Eukaryota; Metazoa; Chordata; Aves; Accipitriformes; Accipitridae. The record is from RefSeq and is a predicted model, not a curated record. The transcript has 17 exons.
AGCAGACUCAAGAAUGAACAAUCCGUCAGAAACCAGUAAACCAUCAAUGGAAAGUGGGGAUGGGAACACAGGCACGCAAACAAAUGGCCUGGACUUUCAAAAGCAGCCGGUGCCUGUCGGAGGAGCAAUCUCUACAGCCCAGGCCCAGGCCUUCCUUGGGCACCUUCAUCAGGUCCAGCUCGCUGGAACAAGUUUACAGGCUGCUGCUCAGUCCUUAAAUGUACAGUCUAAAUCUAAUGAAGAAUCUGGGGACUCUCAGCAGCCAAGCCAGCCUUCCCAGCAGCCUUCAGUGCAGGCGGCCAUACCCCAGACCCAGCUCAUGCUGGCCGGAGGACAGAUCACUGGGCUCACGUUGACGCCAGCCCAGCAACAGUUAUUGCUACAACAGGCGCAGGCACAGUUGCUGGCAGCUGCAGUGCAGCAUUCAGCCAGUCAGCAGCACAGCGCUGCUGGUGCCACCAUCUCGGCCUCUGCUGCAACGCCGAUGACGCAGAUCCCUCUAUCUCAGCCAAUACAGAUUGCACAGGAUUUGCAGCACUUGCAGCAGCUUCAGCAGCAGAAUCUCAACCUGCAACAGUUUGUGUUGGUGCAUCCAACAACCAACUUGCAGCCAGCACAGUUCAUCAUCUCACAAACACCGCAGGGGCAGCAGGGUCUCCUGCAAGCGCAGAAUCUCUUAACGCAACUACCUCAGCAAAGCCAAGCCAACCUCCUGCAGUCUCAGCCAAGCAUCACCCUUGCCUCGCAGCCAGCAACCCCAACACGCACAAUAGCAGCGACCCCCAUUCAGCCACUUCCACAGAGCCAGUCAACACCAAAGCGAAUCGACACUCCCAGCUUGGAGGAGCCCAGUGACCUUGAGGAGCUUGAGCAGUUUGCCAAGACUUUCAAACAAAGACGGAUCAAACUUGGAUUCACUCAGGGUGAUGUUGGGCUCGCUAUGGGCAAACUCUAUGGAAAUGACUUCAGCCAAACUACCAUCUCUCGCUUUGAAGCCUUGAACCUCAGCUUUAAGAACAUGUGCAAGUUAAAGCCACUUCUGGAAAAGUGGCUCAAUGAUGCAGAAAACCUCUCGUCUGAUUCAACUCUCUCCAGCCCAAGUGCCCUGAAUUCUCCAGGGCUGGGGAUUGAAGGCUUGAACCGUAGGAGGAAGAAACGCACCAGCAUAGAGACCAACAUACGUGUGGCCUUAGAGAAGAGUUUCCUGGAGAACCAAAAGCCUACCUCGGAUGAGAUCACCAUGAUAGCUGACCAGCUAAACAUGGAGAAGGAGGUGAUCCGCGUUUGGUUCUGUAACCGGCGCCAGAAGGAGAAAAGGAUCAACCCACCCAGCAGUGGUGGAACCAGCAGCUCGCCCAUCAAAGCAAUUUUCCCUUGCCCAACCUCACUGGUGGCAACCACACCAAGCCUUGUGACUAGCAGUGCAGCUACAACCCUGACAGUCAAUCCUGUGCUCCCUCUGACCAGUCCUGCUGUAACUAGUCUGUCAGUCACAGGCACAACAGAAACCACCUCCAACAACACAGCAACAGUGAUUUCAACAGCACCUCCAGCUUCUUCAGCAGUGACAUCACCCUCCCUGAGCCCUUCCCCUUCUGCCUCAGCCUCCACUUCGGAGGCAUCCAGUGCCAGUGAGACCAGCACAACACAGACAACCUCCACUCCUUUGUCCUCCCCUCUUGGGACCAGCCAGGUGAUGGUAACGGCAUCAGGGUUGCAAACAGCGGCAGCAGCCGCAUUACAAGGAGCUGCACAGUUGCCUGCAAAUGCAAGUCUUGCUGCCAUGGCUGCUGCAGCUGGACUAAACCCAGGCUUGAUGGCAUCCUCGCAGUUUGCAGCUGGAGGUGCCUUACUCAGUCUCAAUCCAGGGACGUUAGGUGGUGCUCUCAGCCCAGCCCUGAUGAGCAACAGUACACUGGCAACUAUUCAAGCUCUUGCAUCUGGUGGCUCUCUUCCAAUAACAUCACUGGAUGCAACUGGAAACUUGGUGUUUGCCAAUGCUGGAGGUACUCCUAACAUCGUAACUGCCCCUCUGUUCCUGAACCCUCAGAACCUUUCUCUGCUCACCAGCAACCCGGUUAGCUUGGUCUCUGCAGCUGCAGCCUCCGCAGGGGCCUCUGGACCAGUCGCCAGCCUUCACGCCACCUCCACCUCAGCCGAGUCCAUCCAGAACUCUCUCCUCACGGUGGCCUCUGCGAGCGGGGCCACGUCCACCACCACUACUGCCUCCAAGGCACAGUGAGCUGGGCUGAGCUGUGCUGCCAGCAGCCUGUUUCGCUGUGCGGUGGGAUUGGCUGCCAGCGGGGUUUAUAAACUGAAAAUGUGAUGGGCAUCCUCUCACCGUGUUGCUGGGGACAAGGGAGAGAAAGAAAAAUAUAAAAAACAAAAGCAAAACAGGAAGGAUUUAAAGCUGGGACAGACAUUUGCCUAAUUUUAUAAUAAACACUGUCUUUUCAGGAUCGCUUCAUGGAUCGGAGAACUUUCUAACCAAAAAUGUAAAAAAAAAAAACAAAAAACAAACAAAAAAAAAACAAAAAAAAAAACCACAAAAAAAGUGAAAGGACUACUUAUCAUUUCCAGCAGUCACAAUGACAAGUUAAGGCCCCACUUCAGGAUUCAUACUGCCUUUGCUGAAUUUUGUAGCAGCAGCUACUUAAGCCCUAUUCCCUGAACAUGAGAAUGUUGUGCGCGGACGAAGCUGGCAUGUUGCGGUGCUAUAGAAAUCGGAAAUUCUUAAACGGAAGGAAUCCUAAGACAUUGGAAACGGCAUGCCAAGGGGCAAAUCGUGGAGAUCGCACAACCCCCUUGAGAAACAAUUUAGGAACAAGAGCACCUGUGACAGUGUCCUGAGAACAAGGCAGUUGAGACAAAACCUUUAGUUCUUCCCCCAUCCACUCUGUAUGUGUCGGCCUCUGUGACCCUGGUGCUCCCCGCACCCGAGCGAGUCCGAGAGGAAAACGCAAUGCGAAAGACGCGGAGAUCAGCGCCGCUCCCUGUGAGUUCCCGGGGAGCUGGACUGGGCCUCCCUGUGAAACGGGGAAGGGAAGGGAUCGCUGCAGAGCCGCCCGCGGGUGGUCUGAAGAGGUCUGGAGCAGCGCUGGUGCCCGUGGGGCGCCUCGCGUGCCAGCAGUCUGCGGGAAGGACCCGGGCAGUAACUUCUUUGUCCCCACCAGUGCUGUUGUUCCAUUUCCUUCCUCUGUGGUAGUAUCUAAGGCUAGGUGUGAGUAGGUGUGGGGUGUUUAUCCGCCACAGGUACAGGAGCUGUCGUAUACCUCAUUUCUAACUCGUAACCGAGUAACUUGCUUUAACUUUCUCCAAACCCUACAGAGUUGCCAAGUCUGCCCUCCCUCCUUUGAUUAACACUGAACUCUGGCCUAUAGCACCCCGUGACCUGCAACCUGGGGAGUGACCCCCUAACGCCUCUGAAUGUCGCUGCUUAAAAGCUACUGCAAAGUGAGGGCAAAUUGCAAUCUUACCUUAUUUCCUUUGGUUACAAGGGGUCCUCUUGAUUAGUCUGUGAAUAUCCACUCCCUCCCCUCCACUCUCCACGGAAGAGGGCCGCCCAGGCUGCCUUUCCCCCACCCCAGGGCAGCUGCCUCCGGGCUGUGCUGAACCCCAGGGCCCGGAGGCGCUCUCAGCCCAGUGCUGUGUACACGCUACUCACUUUUUUGACAUGACCAAAAAAAAAAAAGGAAAAAAAAAGAAAAGAAAUCUCCAAAUAUUUAAUUUUCUUCUUUAUUAUUUGACAAUCCUGUAUCCCUUCCCUGCUCCCCAACCUGGCCAGAAGCUGCAUCCUUAACCCGGUCCAUCUUUAUUUGAAUGUAGUUCCCCUACCCCUAUGGGAAAGAGAAGCUUUGUCAGGUCACGGUGGCUGCUAUAAGUCGGGAGGGGGCGGUUUCUUUGUUUUGUUUUGUUCUUUUAAAAUUUCCAGCCAAAACCAAAGAUUUCCUAAUGAUUGUAUAAACUCAAAACAAACAAACAAACCAAAGACAAAGGGCGUCUUCAGCACCAAGCCCAUCUGUGAGGCCGGCCUGGCCAGGGUGAGGGUCUCCGCCAGCUGCCAGCCUGGGGGGGCUGCCCCGGGCGAGGGGGCACUGCCCUGGGCCCUGGGCCUGGCCUCCGAAAGGCCCCGGGAGGAAACUCGCUGCCCUGGGGCGAAAUCUGGGGCACAGGUGCUGGGAGGGACGGCUGGGGGCUUUGCAGGUGGGUUGAGGAGCUGAAGACUUGGGUGCAGGAUUGGCUGCUCUGCUGGGUGCUUUAACCCUCUGGGGGCUGGGUGAUGUUGAUUAAUACACGCUGAGGUGCACUUCUGAGCUUCCCCCCUCCCCCCGUCACUGCUUGGAAGAGGCUGUCCUGUUGUGAGAAAUCCCUGAAAGAAGAAGCAGCUGCUUUUCAUUUCUCCUCUAGUUCCUUUUUUCUAGAUUUCUUUUAUUUUUGCAGCACCACUGUGCAACUAUGCAUUGUAUUUCUCAACCUUUUAUGCUAGGUAGAUGCCUGUGACUUUUUAACUUUUUGGGGGGGGAUUGCAAAUGGAGGAACUUUUUACAUGGAUCUUUUUAAUCUCAGUUGAUUGGGGGGUGUUUGGUUCUAGGGUCAUACAAGCUCUAUCCCAAAGCAAAAUCCAAAUGUUAAUAUUAUUAGCCUGAUGCAGAUACCAAAGAUAAUUUCUUUCCUGCAGAACCUUAGACUUGUGUAUUAAGUACGAUUACCCAGCACUUGCAUUAGUCUAACCUCAGUAAUUCCAAAGCUUAGAUGUAUAUUUUGGUAUAUUUCUGGGAUAUUAAAAAAUUGUCGUUUAAAUUCUUGUUUGUUUCAGUGUAAUGCUCUUAAAGUCAUAGCAUGGAGAUAACUGAACUUGUCCUAUUCUUAGUAGUUUGAAAUAAUAGUAUUUUUGUAUGUUUUGGGUGUGUCUAUGUAUGUAUUAACAUAACAGUUUUCACUGCCUAGGUGUUCAUAAAUUAAAAAAAAAAAAAACAACUAAGGGUUUUUAAACUGUACAUAAUAUUCCAUGAGGAAUUUCCACCAGACCGCCAAUUUGGAUCGCAUUUUCACUGACGGCUGCUCCCAACUGGGAUUCUUUCUUUCUUUUUAAAGAGACAGCAUGUUCUUUUUUUUUUUUCCCCAUUGACCUGAGGUUCUUUCUCAGCAUAAAGGGGUUUUCACUGUUUUUCAGGGAUGGGCCAAAGAGGAAGUAGCUUAAAUUUUGUUUUAAAAAAAUAUUUAACAUGUUAGUUUGAAAACUAACCCUUUGUAUGAAGAAUUGGGAGUUGAAAAACAAGCCCUUUCUUCUAAAUCCGGCAAUAGUUUUCAAAGAGAUGAGGAUUUCUGAAUGUCUGUAGCAUCUGGGCAGUCCCUUUUUGCUUCGUUUCUAAGACAGACAAAUUUUCAGUCUUAGUGGUUUCACUACUCUGUGCAAAUGCCUGCUUACACUGGCUGGGAGGUUUUAUUUUUCUCUUGCCCUUCCUCAUAUACUGCAUUUAUAUGCUUCAGGUCAGCAGAACACUUGAAACUGAGGGCCAUAUGGGAAUACCUGUACCCAAACGCAACUCAAGCUUUUCUUGAGACUGAAAUGUGAGAGUCCCACACAUUUCAAAACCUUGCUGAUCACACUAGGGGUGAGGAGGAAGGCGAAAUGCUGUCUCUUUAAAGAUGUCCUUUAUUAUUAUUAUUAUUAUUAUUAUUAUUGUUAUUAUUAUUAUUUUCCCAGUGGUUGCCUACAGAUAGCUGUAGGCAUUGAGAGAUUGUGUAGAUUACAGUAAAUCAGAAUGAAAAGGUAGAUUUUGUGUAGAUGCAUUUGUCUGCUGUAAUUUUUUAUAUAUAUUAAACUUACUGUAAUUGUACAGUUCAUUUCUGUUGUAAACAUCAUUAAACCAUUUUCCAAGUGUUUUAA